RNA transcript from Hevea brasiliensis (rubber tree), 2297 nucleotides. RefSeq lists it as uncharacterized. The transcript has 8 exons. The record is from RefSeq and is a predicted model, not a curated record. NCBI's taxonomy places the organism in Eukaryota, Viridiplantae, Streptophyta, Magnoliopsida, Malpighiales, Euphorbiaceae.
AUAUAUGAAUCAAAUGGCUAUUCGUAAGUCGUAACCCCUUAGCAGAAGGCCACGGAAGAAGCUCUUUCAGAAAUUCAUCAUCUUUCCUCUAUCCAUCCUUUGAAGGAUGAGGGCUGCAUACUGUGAUCAUCUGCUUCACACUCGUAUCUUCUUAUCGUCUCCUACAAUCGCUUACCAACAAAAUCUGAGUGUCGGCUUCUCCGUCUCUAAAGCAGCAGAACAGAAUCGGGAUGGUCGGACUCGGAGAUUGGUGCAUGCUUCUUGCGGUGCAAUCAGAGCCGUAGAUGGAGCUCAGCUAUCGCCCUGGGAUGAGAAACCUUAUGAGAUUCUGCCAAGUGGGAAAAAGGCCUACUUGGAUGAGCAAGAUGUGGUGACAUUUCUUGAUCCUCCAAAAGAAUUGAUUCCUCUCGACCCUGGGUCUUACAAUCCAGCUGCAUAUCUAUGGAAAAAAAUUGAAGACAUUCCGGAAGAAAGGCGUCAUAGAUUGCUGACCUUGCUAAAACCUAGGCUUAUAUCAAGAGCUUGGCAGAUAGCUGGCACCCGCCAUGAGGAUCCUCAGUUAGCUAGGAAAUGUGCAUCCAACUUGUUAUGUUCUGAAGAAAAGGAACCAUCACUAGAAUUCUAUAAUUGCCAAAGCAGUGGAGGACCUUGGCCUAUUGCUUGGAUGAAAUCCUUCAAGAAGGCUAUAUUCCAUUGUGAUAAUGGAAAGACUUAUGGGAGAUUGAUUGGUGGGUCAGCUCUGGCACAAAUUACAAAUACCUGUAGUCCAUUGUAUUUUAUGGUAGUGCAAUGUGGGGAAGUAAUGUCAACAGAGCAGCCUUGCGAUCUAGCAUAUGAAUUGGGGGAUGGGCACCUGAAUCUCCAUAACUAUCCUCAAGGUUUUCCAAGACCAGGUGGGAUUUGUGUAUGACAUUUAAGUCAAUGUGUCGACUGAGAUUAUAGCAGCUUAUGCAGGUGCUUCUUAUUGUUUUCUUGUGGCAAAGUUGCAAGAAUUUCUCUUCGUCAUUUCUCCCUGCUUUGUUGACUUGACAAGAUGAUGCUGAUUUUGCAUUUUCAUUCAACAAGAUCAUAAUUCUGGUAACCUAUCUUAUAUAUAUCAACUGAAAACAACUAAGCCUUUGUCCAAGUCUUUGGUUUUGGCUACAUUGAUCAUUUUCCUCCAGUUCAUUUGGGCUACACUUAUAUAAGAUCUAAUGCUGUCAAUGACAAAUAUUUUUCACCAUUUCAUGGCAAACAGGUUUUAAAUUGCAGUUGUGGCUGCAGCUGCAUUUACGGUUACAACCUACAAUUGCAUCAAAAAUUUGAGUCUUCAUAAAUUUAACUCUCUCAACUCAUCUUCAGCGAGUGCCUUCCACCUUCAUUUGACUCAUUAAAUAUUCGGUCUUGUUUUUUAUUCCUUCACAUCCAUCUUUUUGUCUUUAUCUCCACCAAGCUAAGUUUAUAAAGGAUUUUUUUUAACUGACUAUGCCUUCUGCCGUAAAAGUUGACUGUCAUAUUGCAGUAUUGUAGAUGUUGUUUAACUUGCUUGGAUUUUAUUGUUACCUUAGGCCUUCGUUGUUCUUCAUUUCAAACACAUUGCUUUGAUCCUAUGAUUUACAUUCUCUUCACUUUUACCAUCUUUUUGUAUAAUAGAAUUUAGGCAUAAAAAUAUUGUGGUUUCAGGAGUCUCUGUACCAUCUAGAUUAACUUUACACUGCUCACUUUUUCUGGCACUGCUAGAAUUGUGAUCCAUAAUUUGUUUUAGUUGUCACUUGUAGUUAUCUUGAAACCGUGGAUUGUAUUCUGGAGCUGAAGGACUUGGUGGCUUCCUAUAUAGCUUUGAUAGUAAUAUCUUAUUUCAUAUUUAAAACCUGGAAAGUUUUUAUUAGUAAGAAAAAACUUUGUUGGAAGCUAGAAUUGCAUCCUUUGUGAAAUGUGCCAAUUUACCUUUAAAAAUCUAGAAGAUGCCAUUCAUGGGAUGUGCAAUAAUUUGCAAGAAGGCUCUUCAUAUUUACUAAGUGUGAUCCAAAGUAUUAAUUUAUCCAGAAGUUCAUUUAUUGACAAAUGGUCAGGUCUUGUAGUGCAGUAAGAAAUUCAAAUCGUAGCCUCUCAAUGUCCCUACAAGAAGAAACAAAAUUAAAGAAAAGAGCUUAUUGAUUUAUUGAUUAUUUGGCUGAGACAUAAAUAAUCAAGGCAUCCAUAUCCAUUCUAUGAUCAGGUUGUUAUAUAUGUUCGUCAUGUUGGACCUGGGGUGUCAGUGGCGCAAGCAUGGCAAGAAGGAAAGGAAUUACAGCAAGUGCCUAGGAAGCUAUGCGGGG